AACGAACGCUGGCGGCAGGCCUAACACAUGCAAGUCGAGCGAGGACUUCGGUCCUAGCGGCGGACGGGUGAGUAACGCGUGGGACGUGCCCUUUGGUACGGAAUAGCCCCGGGAAACUGGGAGUAAUACCGUAUGGUGUCUUCGGACUAAAGAUUUAUCGCCAAAGGAUCGGCCCGCGUUGGAUUAGGUAGUUGGUGGGGUAAUGGCCUACCAAGCCGACGAUCCAUAGCUGGUUUGAGAGGAUGAUCAGCCACACUGGGACUGAGACACGGCCCAGACUCCUACGGGAGGCAGCAGUGGGGAAUCUUAGACAAUGGGGGCAACCCGUGAUCUAGCCAUGCCGCGUGAGUGAUGAAGGCCCUAGGGUUGUAAAGCUCUUUCAGCUGGGAAGAUAAUGACGGUACCAGCAGAAGAAGCCCCGGNUAACUCCGUG
RNAcentral lists this ribosomal RNA (433 nucleotides) under uncultured bacterium. Its description in RNAcentral is "bacterial SSU rRNA". It matches the Rfam family "Bacterial small subunit ribosomal RNA", at positions 29 to 507 of the family's 1533-position model. The record is from RNAcentral.